This 484-nucleotide ribosomal RNA is filed under the name uncultured bacterium. RNAcentral describes it as "partial 16S ribosomal RNA". It matches the Rfam family "Bacterial small subunit ribosomal RNA", at positions 30 to 507 of the family's 1533-position model. The record is from RNAcentral.
AUUGAACGCUGGCGGCAGGCCUAACACAUGCAAGUCGAGCGGAUGAAGGGAGCUUGCUCCUGGAUUCAGCGGCGGACGGGUGAGUAAUGCCUAGGAAUCUGCCUGGUAGUGGGGGAUAACGUCCGGAAACGGGCGCUAAUACCGCAUACUUCCUGAGGUAGAAAGUGGGGGAUCUUCGGACCUCACGCUAUCAGAUGAGCCUAGGUCGGAUUAGCUAGUUGGUGGGGUAAAGGCCUACCAAGGCGACGAUCCGUAACUGGUCUGAGAGGAUGAUCAGUCACCCUGGAACUGAGACACGGUCCAGACUCCUAAGGGAGGCAGCAGUGGGGAAUAUUGGACAAUGGGCGAAAGCCUGAUCCAGCCAUGCCGAGUGUGUGAAGAAGGUCUUCGGAUUGUAAAGCACUUUAAGUUGGGAGGAAGGGCAGUAAGUUAAUACCUUGCUGUUUUGACGUUACCAACAGAAUAAGCACCGGCUAACUUCGUG